This 1324-nucleotide long non-coding RNA is filed under the name Numida meleagris (helmeted guineafowl). RNAcentral describes it as "lncRNA (ENSNMEG00000008482.1)". Lineage: Eukaryota; Metazoa; Chordata; Aves; Galliformes; Numididae. The record is from RNAcentral.
UUAGGAACGAACAUAUCUGAUCUUUCUUUCAAAGAGAUGCUCAAUGUCGAAUUAUCUACUUGAGCAGCAACAACUGGAACAAGUUUCCGCACUGCAGUCUGACCAGGAAAAUUUUGCUGACACUAGUACCACUGAUUAUCUAAGCCAUCUCUUCCUCAUUUGCUAAAAAGAAAAAAAAAAGAAAGAAAAAAAAAGAACAGAUUCUAUAAGGGUCUAAGUGCCACUUCCAAACAUCUCUUAAAUACCACCAGGGAUGGACUCUACCAACUUCCCUGGACAGCCCACUUCAAUGCUUGAUCACCUUCUCCAUCAGGAAGUUCUUCCUGAUAUCUAACCUAAACCUCCCCUGGUGCAACAUGAGACUGUUUACUUGUGUCCUAUCACCUGUCACCUGAGAAAAGCGACUAGCACUCUCCUUGGUGCAAUUUCCUUUCAGGUAGUUAUAGAGAGUGAUGUGGUCUCUCCUCAGCUGCCUCCAGACUGAAGAGUCACAGUUCCCUCAGCCUCUCCUUGUAACUCUUGUUUUCUAGUGCCUUCACCAGCUUCAUUGCCUUUCUCUGAAUGUGUUCCAGCAGCUCAGUAUCCUUCUCGCAGUGAGUGGCCCCAAACAGAACGGAGUACUCUCAUUCGGUUGGGUGCAUCCCUUUCCUUUCAUGAACGCUAGCAUAUAAACAACACCCACGAGCACAGGCAGAAGAGUAGCCUAUUUUAGCUAUCAGAAGUUUAUUUUCUGUAAAUGGGUCAGUUCUGCAGUCCCAUGAUUUCCUGCUGUUCCUCAUGCAUCAGAGGACGCCACCUGACCACCCAGUGAGACCUCAGAGGUGCAGAACUCUGACUCGGACUGGAAACUGGGACUUCCAGCAAGAGUGACUGAUUCACUCUUUGAGCAAACACUUCAGUGAGACUGGGGAGUCAAACUUCCAGCUGCUACAGUAAUGGAUGCAGUAUCCGAAGGCACUGUUGAUGAGAGAACGCAUCAGCUCCAAGCUAUAGAGUAUUUUCUACACAGUUGCUUUCUGUUCACACAACAUUCACCAAGUUCUCCAGGUCUGCUGCAGAUCAGUUCUUCAAGAUAGAAGAUAAUUUGAAGAAAGAACCACAUCCAAGCCUUUGCUGGCAGGGAAAAAAAAAAAAACAGAGCAACAUAGAGAUAGAUAAAAAGGCAGCAGUGUAUCCAAAAUAGGAGAUGGCAUACUGUUGAAGACAUCUACAGAGAUUGUAAGUUUUCAGGACAGCUUUUCACAAUUCCCAGUUAAGAAGUCAGAGGACAUAAAAAUUGGGGGAACUGGCAAAUAAAGAAGAAGUUAAAACAGAGAGGUCUUGG